This 890-nucleotide ribosomal RNA is filed under the name Listeria monocytogenes. Its description in RNAcentral is "partial 23S ribosomal RNA". It matches the Rfam family "Bacterial large subunit ribosomal RNA", at positions 1 to 885 of the family's 2925-position model. Lineage: Bacteria; Bacillati; Bacillota; Bacilli; Caryophanales; Listeriaceae. The record is from RNAcentral.
UUGGUUAAGUUAGAAAGGGCGCACGGUGGAUGCCUUGGCACUAGGAGCCGAAGAAGGACGGGACUAACACCGAUAUGCUUUGGGGAGCUGUACGUAAGCGUUGAUCCAGAGAUUUCCGAAUGGGGGAACCCACUAUCUUUAGUCGGAUAGUAUCCUUACGUGAAUACAUAGCGUGAGGAAGGCAGACCCAGGGAACUGAAACAUCUAAGUACCUGGAGGAAGAGAAAGAAAAAUCGAUUUCCUGAGUAGCGGCGAGCGAAACGGAAAGAGCCCAAACCAAGAAGCUUGCUUCUUGGGGUUGUAGGACACUCUAUACGGAGUUACAAAAGAAAGUUAUAAAUGAAGCGGUCUGGAAAGGCCCGCCAAAGACGGUAACAGCCCGGUAGUUGAAAUGGCUUUCCCUCCAGAGUGGAUCCUGAGUACGGCGGAACACGUGAAAUUCCGUCGGAAUCCGGGAGGACCAUCUCCCAAGGCUAAAUACUCCCUAGUGACCGAUAGUGAACCAGUACCGUGAGGGAAAGGUGAAAAGCACCCCGGAAGGGGAGUGAAACAGUUCCUGAAACCGUGUGCCUACAAGUAGUUAGAGCCCGUUAAUGGGUGAUAGCGUGCCUUUUGUAGAAUGAACCGGCGAGUUACGAUUUGUUGCAAGGUUAAGCGGAAAAAGCGGAGCCGUAGCGAAAGCGAGUCUGAAUAGGGCGCAUAAGUAACAGGUCGUAGACCCGAAACCAGGUGAUCUACCCAUGUCCAGGAUGAAGGUAAGGUAAUACUUACUGGAGGUCCGAACCCACGCACGUUGAAAAGUGCGGGGAUGAGGUGUGGGUAGCGGAGAAAUUCCAAUCGAACUUGGAGAUAGCUGGUUCUCUCCGAAAUAGCUUUAGGGCUAGCCUCGA